GGUGCUCAGAUGUUUGCGUACCCUGUUUUGCAUUCUCUAUGGACAUACAGGCAUCCAACCACAAACCAAAUCAAAGCAUUAGUGUCACACGUUGUUAACAUGGUAGAAACGGCUUAAACUCAUCCAUUCAAUUAGUUGUGAUCAGGCCGUAGGUUUGCUUUCUGCUCCAACUGCACAAUAGGCAAAGCAUUUCAUCCAUGUUGCAACCUCC
Molecule: long non-coding RNA, 211 nt
Filed under: Elaeis guineensis (African oil palm)
Lineage: Eukaryota; Viridiplantae; Streptophyta; Magnoliopsida; Arecales; Arecaceae
Description: long non-coding RNA (EGUI_LNC043530)
Source: RNAcentral